RNAcentral lists this long non-coding RNA (261 nucleotides) under Gallus gallus (chicken). RNAcentral's name for it is "lncRNA (ENSGALG00010003119.1)". Lineage: Eukaryota; Metazoa; Chordata; Aves; Galliformes; Phasianidae. The record is from RNAcentral.
GAAAGAAAGAAAGAAAGAAAGAAAGAAAGAAAGAAAGAAAGAAAGAAAGAAAGAAAGAAAGAAAGAAAGAAAGAAAGAAAGAAAGAAAGAAAGAAAGGAAAGAAAGAAAGAAGUUAGAACACUAACCAGUCAAAGCAGUGUUGGCUUCCUGAAUCAAACAACACCACAGUACCUAUUUCUCCUGGGAGAGGUAGUGUUACAGCUCUUGGAUGUGACAGUGGUAUCUGAUUGUUCCCAGCUGCCGAUCCUUUGUCAGCAGAU